Molecule: ribosomal RNA, 253 nt
Filed under: uncultured bacterium
Lineage: Bacteria
Description: partial 16S ribosomal RNA
Rfam family: Bacterial small subunit ribosomal RNA
Source: RNAcentral
UACGUAGGGUGCUAGCGUUGUUCGGAAUCAUUGGGCGUAAAGCGCGUGUAGGCGGUUUGAUAAGUCGAAUGUGAAAUCCCCCGGCUCAACCGAGGAAGUGCAUUCGAAACUAUCUGGCUAGAAGAUGGCAGAGGAAGGUGGAAUUCCAAGUGUAGAGGUGAAAUUCGUAGAUAUUUGGAGGAAUACCGGUGGCGAAGGCGGCCUUCUGGACCAUUCUUGACGCUGAGACGCGAAAGCGUGGGGAGCAAACAGG